This 253-nucleotide ribosomal RNA is filed under the name uncultured prokaryote. RNAcentral's name for it is "partial 16S ribosomal RNA". It matches the Rfam family "Bacterial small subunit ribosomal RNA", at positions 524 to 776 of the family's 1533-position model. The record is from RNAcentral.
UACGAAGGGGGCGAGCGUUAUUCGGAAUCACUGGGCGUAAAGCGUGCGUAGGCUGUUUCACAAGUUGGAAGUGAAAGCCCAGGGCUCAACCCUGGAAUUGCUUUCAAAACUGUGAGACUAGAAUCUCGGAGAGGAUAGCGGAAUUUCCAGUGUAGUAGUGAAAUACGUAGAUAUUGGAAGGAACACCAGUGGCGUAAGCGGCUAUCUGGACGAGUAUUGACGCUGAGGCACGAAAGCGUGGGGAUCAAACAGG